GACGAAGGAUGCAAGCGUUAUCCGGAUUCAUUGGGUUUAAAGGGAGCGUAGGCGGCCCUAUAAGUCAGUGGUGAAAUCUCUCGGCUUAACCGAGAAAUUGCCAUUGAUACUGUAGGGCUUGAGUACAGUUGCCGUUGGCGGAAUAUGACAUGUAGUGGUGAAAUACAUAGAGAUGUCAUAGAACACCGAUUGCGAAGGCAGCUAACGAAGCUGUAACUGACGCUGAGGCUCGAAAGUGCGGGGAGCAAACAGG
This 253-nucleotide ribosomal RNA is filed under the name uncultured bacterium. RNAcentral describes it as "partial 16S ribosomal RNA". It matches the Rfam family "Bacterial small subunit ribosomal RNA", at positions 524 to 776 of the family's 1533-position model. The record is from RNAcentral.